RNAcentral lists this ribosomal RNA (400 nucleotides) under uncultured bacterium. RNAcentral's name for it is "bacterial SSU rRNA". It matches the Rfam family "Bacterial small subunit ribosomal RNA", at positions 359 to 776 of the family's 1533-position model. The record is from RNAcentral.
GAAUAUUGCGCAAUGGGGGAAACCCUGACGCAGCAACGCCGCGUGAAUGAUGAAGGCCUUAGGGUUGUAAAGUUCUGUCUUCUGGGUCGAUAAUGACGGUACCAGCGGAGGAAGCCACGGCUAACUACGUGCCAGCAGCCGCGGUAAUACGUAGGUGGCAAGCGUUGUCCGGAUUUACUGGGCGUAAAGGAUGCGUAGGCGGAUAUUUAAGUCAGAUGUGAAAUACCCGGGCUCAACUUGGGUGCUGCAUUUGAAACUGGAUAUCUAGAGUGCGGGAGAGGUAAGUGGAAUUCCUAGUGUAGCGGUGAAAUGCGUAGAGAUUAGGAAGAACACCAGUGGCGAAGGCGACUUACUGGACCGUAACUGACGCUGAGGCAUGAAAGCGUGGGGAGCAAACAGG